GACGAACGCUGGCGGCGUGCUUAACACAUGCCAGUCGAACGGAAAGGCCCUGCUUUUGUGGGGUGCUCGAGUGGCGAACGGGUGAGUAACACGUGAGUAACCUGCCCUUGACUUUGGGAUAACUUCGGGAAACUGGGGCUAAUACCGGAUAGGAGCUCCUGCUGCAUGGUGGGGGUUGGAAAGUUUCGGCGGUUGGGGAUGGACUCGCGGCUUAUCAGCUUGUUGGUGGGGUAGUGGCUUACCAAGGCUUUGACGGGUAGCCGGCCUGAGAGGGUGACCGGCCACAUUGGGACUGAGAUACGGCCCAGACUCCUACGGGAGGCAGCAGUGGGGAAUAUUGCACAAUGGGCGGAAGCCUGAUGCAGCAACGCCGCGUGCGGGAUGAUGGCCUUCGGGUUGUAAACCGCUUUCGCCUGUGACGAAGCGUGAGUGACGGUAAUGGGUAAAGAAGCACCGGCUAACUACGUG
This 468-nucleotide ribosomal RNA is filed under the name uncultured bacterium. RNAcentral describes it as "partial 16S ribosomal RNA". It matches the Rfam family "Bacterial small subunit ribosomal RNA", at positions 28 to 507 of the family's 1533-position model. The record is from RNAcentral.